UUUCGCGUCUGGUUUUUUCGCCAGAAUGCCGUUACCGACCGCAUGUAAUAAGUGAGUUUUACCAAGACCAGUGCCACCAUA
Molecule: antisense RNA, 81 nt
Filed under: Rheinheimera sp. SA_1
Lineage: Bacteria; Pseudomonadati; Pseudomonadota; Gammaproteobacteria; Chromatiales; Chromatiaceae
Description: antisense RNA of dnaA mRNA
Rfam family: antisense RNA of dnaA mRNA
Source: Rfam by way of RNAcentral